RNAcentral lists this long non-coding RNA (255 nucleotides) under Homo sapiens (human). Its description in RNAcentral is "long non-coding RNA NONHSAT067134.2". The stretch from base 1 to 34 matches the Rfam family "Iron response element I". The record is from RNAcentral. Lineage: Eukaryota; Metazoa; Chordata; Mammalia; Primates; Hominidae.
UGUCUCUUGCUUCAACAGUGUUUGGACGGAACAGAUCCGGGGACUCUCUUCCAGCCUCCGACCGCCCUCCGAUUUCCUCUCCGCUUGCAACCUCCGGGACCAUCUUCUCGGCCAUCUCCUGCUUCUGGGACCUGCCAGCACCGUUUUUGUGGUUAGCUCCUUCUUGCCAACCAACCAUGAGCUCCCAGAUUCGUCAGAAUUAUUCCACCGACGUGGAGGCAGCCGUCAACAGCCUGGUCAAUUUGUACCUGCAGG